GGGCGCAAGCCUGAUCCAGCAAUGCCGCGUGCAGGAUGAAGGCCUUCGGGUUGUAAACUGCUUUUGUACGGAACGAAAAGCCCUGGGUUAAUACCCUGGGGUCAUGACGGUACCGUAAGAAUAAGCACCGGCUAACUACGUGCCAGCAGCCGCGGUAAUACGUAGGGUGCAAGCGUUAAUCGGAAUUACUGGGCGUAAAGCGUGCGCAGGCGGUUUUGUAAGACAGAGGUGAAAUCCCCGGGCUCAACCUGGGAACUGCCUUUGUGACUGCAAGGCUAGAGUACGGCAGAGGGGGAUGGAAUUCCGCGUGUAGCAGUGAAAUGCGUAGAUAUGCGGAGGAACACCGAUGGCGAAGGCAAUCCCCUGGGCCUGUACUGACGCUCAUGCACGAAAGCGUGGGGAGCAAACAGGAUUAGAUACCCUGGUAGUCCACGCCCUAAACGAUGUCAACUGGUUGUUGGGUCUUAACUGACUCAGUAACGAAGCUAACGCGUGAAGUUGACCGCCUGG
RNAcentral lists this ribosomal RNA (510 nucleotides) under uncultured bacterium. RNAcentral describes it as "bacterial SSU rRNA". It matches the Rfam family "Bacterial small subunit ribosomal RNA", at positions 373 to 876 of the family's 1533-position model. The record is from RNAcentral.